GGUUAAGCGACUAAGCGUACACGGUGGAUGCCCUGGCAGUCAGAGGCGAUGAAGGGCGUGCUAAUCUGCGAUAAGCGCCGGUAAGGUGAUAUGAACCGUUAUAACCGGCGAUACCCGAAUGGGGAAACCCAGUGUGAUUCGUCACACUAUCAUUAACUGAAUCCAUAGGUUAAUGAGGCGAACCGGGGGAACUGAAACAUCUAAGUACCCCGAGGAAAAGAAAUCAACCGAGAUUCCCCCAGUAGCGGCGAGCGAACGGGGAGGAGCCCAGAGCCUGAAUCAGCAUGUGUGUUAGUGGAAGCGUCUGGAAAGGCGCGCGAUACAGGGUGACAGCCCCGUACACAAAAGCGCAUGUGCUGUGAGCUCGAUGAGUAGGGCGGGACACGUGGUAUCCUGUCUGAAUAUGGGGGGACCAUCCUCCAAGGCUAAAUACUCCUGACUGACCGAUAGUGAACCAGUACCGUGAGGGAAAGGCGAAAAGAACCCCGGCGAGGGGAGUGAAAAAGAACCUGAAACCGUGUACGUACAAGCAGUGGGAGCCCCACCACUAAGCCAGUGGUGAACUCCACAUACGCAUCCUUUGCUGAGGAUACGGUUAACGGAGCGAAAGCGACGUUCAACCUCAAAAGAAGCAGAGGGGGCUUAGUGGUGGGGUGACUGCGUACCUUUUGUAUAAUGGGUCAGCGACUUAUAUUCUGUAGCAAGGUUAACCG
This 713-nucleotide ribosomal RNA is filed under the name Salmonella enterica subsp. enterica serovar Senftenberg. Its description in RNAcentral is "partial 23S ribosomal RNA". It matches the Rfam family "Bacterial large subunit ribosomal RNA", at positions 1 to 652 of the family's 2925-position model. RNAcentral also lists the same sequence under 4 other names. Lineage: Bacteria; Pseudomonadati; Pseudomonadota; Gammaproteobacteria; Enterobacterales; Enterobacteriaceae. The record is from RNAcentral.